RNAcentral lists this ribosomal RNA (683 nucleotides) under uncultured Porphyrobacter sp. RNAcentral describes it as "bacterial SSU rRNA". It matches the Rfam family "Bacterial small subunit ribosomal RNA", at positions 94 to 812 of the family's 1533-position model. Lineage: Bacteria; Pseudomonadati; Pseudomonadota; Alphaproteobacteria; Sphingomonadales; Erythrobacteraceae. The record is from RNAcentral.
AGUGGCGCACGGGUGCGUAACGCGUGGGAACCUGCCCUUAGGUUCGGAAUAACUCAGAGAAAUUUGAGCUAAUACCGGAUAAUGUCUUCGGACCAAAGAUUUAUCGCCUUUGGAUGGGCCCGCGUUGGAUUAGCUAGUUGGUGGGGUAAAGGCCUACCAAGGCGACGAUCCAUAGCUGGUCUGAGAGGAUGAUCAGCCACACUGGGACUGAGACACGGCCCAGACUCCUACGGGAGGCAGCAGUGGGGAAUAUUGGACAAUGGGCGAAAGCCUGAUCCAGCAAUGCCGCGUGAGUGAUGAAGGCCUUAGGGUUGUAAAGCUCUUUUACCAGGGAUGAUAAUGACAGUACCUGGAGAAUAAGCCCCGGCUAACUUCGUGCCAGCAGCCGCGGUAAUACGAAGGGGGCUAGCGUUGUUCGGAAUUACUGGGCGUAAAGCGCACGUAGGCGGCUUUUUAAGUCAGGGGUGAAAUCCCGGGGCUCAACCCCGGAACUGCCCUUGAAACUGGGAAGCUAGAAUCUUGGAGAGGCGAGUGGAAUNCCGAGUGUAGAGGUGAAAUUCGUAGAUAUUCGGAAGAACACCAGUGGCGAAGGCGACUCGCUGGACAAGUAUUGACGCUGAGGUGCGAAAGUGUGGGGAGCAAACAGGAUUAGAUACCCUGGUAGUCCACACCGUAAACGAUGA